Molecule: long non-coding RNA, 257 nt
Filed under: Manihot esculenta (cassava)
Lineage: Eukaryota; Viridiplantae; Streptophyta; Magnoliopsida; Malpighiales; Euphorbiaceae
Description: long non-coding RNA (MESC_LNC002160)
Source: RNAcentral
UCCCAUCAUACAAUAAAUUUCGUGAUUCAGCCCCCUCUGAUAAUGAGCAACCUGUUGGGCCUCGUUCUCACAGUUUUCACAUCUCGCCUGCAGCCUUAAAAACUCCUCGGUAUACUCAUCCACCCUUCGGUUCCCUUGUACACAGUCAUGAUACCGGUUAUAUAAGACCUAAGCGUGAUCGCUAAGCAAGAACCGUUGUUCAAACAUCUGCUUCAUCAGCACCCAGUUUCGUAUGGGCUCCAGCCUCUUCCGAUAGC